This 392-nucleotide ribosomal RNA is filed under the name uncultured bacterium. RNAcentral describes it as "bacterial SSU rRNA". It matches the Rfam family "Bacterial small subunit ribosomal RNA", at positions 93 to 500 of the family's 1533-position model. The record is from RNAcentral.
UAGUGGCGAACGGGUGAGUAACACGUGAGCAACCUGCCCCUAACUCUGGGAUAACGCUUCGAAAGGAGUGCUAAUACCGGAUACCAGCAUGGAGGACAUCCUCUGUGCUUGAAAGUUUUUCGGUUAGGGAUGGGCUCGCGGCCUAUCAGCUUGUUGGUGAGGUAAAAGCUCACCAAGGCGACGACGGGUAUCCGGCCUGAGAGGGCGACCGGACACACUGGGACUGAGACACGGCCCAGACUCCUACGGGAGGCAGCAGUGGGGAAUAUUGCGCAAUGGGCGAAAGCCUGACGCAGCGACGCCGCGUGAGGGAUGAAGGUCUUCGGAUUGUAAACCUCUUUCAGCAGGGACGAAGCGAAAGUGACGGUACCUGCAGAAGAAGCACCGGCUAA